UACGAAGGGGGCUAGCGUUGUUCGGAAUUACUGGGCGUAAAGCGCGUGUAGGCGGCUUCGCAAGUCGGAUGUGAAAUCCCACGGCUCAACCGUGGAAGUGCAUUCGAAACUGCAAGGCUAGAGUCCUGGAGAGGAAGGUGGAAUGCUUGGUGUAGAGGCGAAAUUCGUAGAUAUCAAGCGGAACACCGGUGGCGAAGGCGGCCUUCUGGACAGUGACUGACGCUGAGACGCGAAAGCGUGGGGAGCAAACAGG
RNAcentral lists this ribosomal RNA (253 nucleotides) under uncultured bacterium. RNAcentral describes it as "partial 16S ribosomal RNA". It matches the Rfam family "Bacterial small subunit ribosomal RNA", at positions 524 to 776 of the family's 1533-position model. The record is from RNAcentral.